This is a long non-coding RNA of Brassica oleracea var. oleracea, 1527 nucleotides long. RefSeq lists it as uncharacterized. NCBI's taxonomy places the organism in Eukaryota, Viridiplantae, Streptophyta, Magnoliopsida, Brassicales, Brassicaceae. The record is from RefSeq and is a predicted model, not a curated record. The transcript has 6 exons.
UCCAGAGGUGAUGGCGAUUUAGUCUUUAGCACUGCUUAAGAUCGAUCAACUCAAAUUUAUUGCAUCAGGAAGCUCAACCAUCGUCCUUACAUCGACCAACGCAGUUAAUAAAUAAUUUCAAUCCAGAUCUUUGUUUUCAUCUGUUCUCAAUCAUUUUCAAUUGUUAUGGUUGCUCCAACUGAUAAUCGUAUGCCUCUCCGUAAUUGCCAUCAUAUCGCUGAUAAUCUUCUCCGUCAGGCCAGUAUCUAUAGUGAAGAGAAGAAUGUCGUAGACUUGGAUCACGCUUCCUAGAUACUGUAGAUUCUGUAAUAAGUAAUAACUUAAUAAAGCCGAUGAUGAAUCCUUUAUUGUUGGAAGUGGUUUCUGUUGGUAUCGUAUAUAAGAUUCUGUUGAAUGUCUUGCUGUCCACCGUGAUUCAACCUCCAGACCUGAUAUUAACAAGAUCAUGCAACUGGUAUGGCCGACAACAUCUCAAGACACAUUACUGUUAUCGGCCCAGCAAACAUUAAACUAACCGAAUGUGUUUAUAAACCAUUAACAAGAAAACCGUUGCCCUGGAGCACCUUUUACGAAAGAGUCUCUUGCUGAAGCUAGAAAACUUGGACAAGAAAGAUAGGGAAAUAAGAAGAAAGCCUGAGUUGAAAAACAACCUUGAAUCUUAUGUUUAUGCUACCAAAGAGAAGGUACAGAUCACUAUCUCGGCUACUUCAUUGUUCUUUUAUUGCUAAAUCGUCGCUUUCUCUUUACCUAUUAUGAUGUUUUCAGUUAGCAUUCUUCUCAAGACUCAGGGCUUUGGUUUUAUUUUGGUCAUUGUACAGCUAGAUACACCCGAAUUUGAAAAGGUUUCCACACAAGAAGAGCGCAAGACGUUUGUUGAGAAGCUUGAUGAGGCAUGUGCAAGAUUGGCUUUACAUGGACGGAGAAGAUGGUAACCAAUUUGGGGGAGGUUCCCCUCCGUUCCAAGAAGAAGAUUGAACAUGGUGGUAUAAAGGGAUCCAAUGGAGGAAGAAGAAGAUGUAGAACAUUUUGAGGAUUUGAAAGAAGAAGAUAUUUGAUCAAUAAAGAAACAACGAAGGGAAUAAUGUUGAUGUUGACCGUGACGGUAACAAACCCACAAGUAGAGAUAAUGCCUCUUCUUCAGACAACGUUGAGGCUUUGGCGGUCAGGCAGUAUGAUGAAAGAUGAUUAUGGUUCUGAUGAUAAGGAGGAGCCAUGAUCGUACGCCUAGAGAGAUCCCAGUAGCAUCGACCGAUGAGAUUAACACUGUCUCCGAAGAAGCAGGUGGCGUGACAGCAGAAUUAGGAGUGGCUGCAAAUGCGAACUACUGCAUCAACUAAUCCGAUACUUGACCUCAAUGAGAAUGUUCAGAACAGGGCACGCCAGGGAUAGCUGGACGUGUAGAAGACAAAUCCACACUCUCUUUGCUUUCCAACUAAUGUUUACCAGCACUUUCUAUUUUUUCCCAUUUAAAGUUGAUGUCGUUGUUGAUGUUCGAACUACUAAUGCAAGUUAUUUUCAUUCGAUGUC